GAUUAAGUUAUUAAGGGCGCACGGUGGAUGCCUUGGCACUAGAAGCCAAUGAAGGACGUUACUAACGACGAUAUGCUUUGGGGAGCUGUAAGUAAGCUUUGAUCCAGAGAUUUCCGAAUGGGGAAACCCAGCAUGAGUUAUGUCAUGUUAUCGAUAUGUGAAUACAUAGCAUAUCAGAAGGCACACCCGGAGAACUGAAACAUCUUAGUACCCGGAGGAAGAGAAAGAAAAUUCGAUUCCCUUAGUAGCGGCGAGCGAAACGGGAAGAGCCCAAACCAACAAGCUUGCUUGUUGGGGUUGUAGGACACUCUAUACGGAGUUACAAAGGACGACAUUAGACGAAUCAUCUGGAAAGAUGAAUCAAAGAAGGUAAUAAUCCUGUAGUCGAAAAUGUUGUCUCUCUUGAGUGGAUCCUGAGUACGACGGAGCACGUGAAAUUCCGUCGGAAUCUGGGAGGACCAUCUCCUAAGGCUAAAUACUCUCUAGUGACCGAUAGUGAACCAGUACCGUGAGGGAAAGGUGAAAAGCACCCCGGAAGGGGAGUGAAAUAGAACCUGAAACCGUGUGCUUACAAGUAGUCAGAGCCCGUUAAUGGGUGAUGGCGUGCCUUUUGUAGAAUGAACCGGCGAGUUACGAUUUGAUGCAAGGUUAAGCAGUAAAUGUGGAGCCGUAGCGAAAGCGAGUCUGAAUAGGGCGUUUAGUAUUUGGUCGUAGACCCGAAACCAGGUGAUCUACCCUUGGUCAGGUUGAAGUUCAGGUAACACUGAAUGGAGGACCGAACCGACUUACGUUGAAAAGUGAGCGGAUGAACUGAGGGUAGCGGAGAAAUUCCAAUCGAACCUGGAGAUAGCUGGUUCUCUCCGAAAUAGCUUUAGGGCUAGCCUCAAGUGAUGAUUAUUGGAGGUAGAGCACUGUUUGGACGAGGGGCCCCUCUCGGGUUACCGAAUUCAGACAAACUCCGAAUGCCAAUUAAUUUAACUUGGGAGUCAGAACAUGGGUGAUAAGGUCCGUGUUCGAAAGGGAAACAGCCCAGACCACCAGCUAAGGUCCCAAAAUAUAUGUUAAGUGGAAAAGGAUGUGGCGUUGCCCAGACAACUAGGAUGUUGGCUUAGAAGCAGCCAUCAUUUAAAGAGUGCGUAAUAGCUCACUAGUCGAGUGACACUGCGCCGAAAAUGUACCGGGGCUAAACAUAUUACCGAAGCUGUGGAUUGUCCUUUGGACAAUGGUAGGAGAGCGUUCUAAGGGCGUUGAAGCAUGAUCGUAAGGACAUGUGGAGCGCUUAGAAGUGAGAAUGCCGGUGUGAGUAGCGAAAGACGGGUGAGAAUCCCGUCCACCGAUUGACUAAGGUUUCCAGAGGAAGGCUCGUCCGCUCUGGGUUAGUCGGGUCCUAAGCUGAGGCCGACAGGCGUAGGCGAUGGAUAACAGGUUGAUAUUCCUGUACCACCUAUAAUCGUUUUAAUCGAUGGGGGGACGCAGUAGGAUAGGCGAAGCGUGCGAUUGGAUUGCACGUCUAAGCAGUAAGGCUGAGUAUUAGGCAAAUCCGGUACUCGUUAAGGCUGAGCUGUGAUGGGGAGAAGACAUUGUGUCUUCGAGUCGUUGAUUUCACACUGCCGAGAAAAGCCUCUAGAUAGAAAAUAGGUGCCCGUACCGCAAACCGACACAGGUAGUCAAGAUGAGAAUUCUAAGGUGAGCGAGCGAACUCUCGUUAAGGAACUCGGCAAAAUGACCCCGUAACUUCGGGAGAAGGGGUGCUCUUUAGGGUUAACGCCCAGAAGAGCCGCAGUGAAUAGGCCCAAGCGACUGUUUAUCAAAAACACAGGUCUCUGCUAAACCGUAAGGUGAUGUAUAGGGGCUGACGCCUGCCCGGUGCUGGAAGGUUAAGAGGAGUGGUUAGCUUCUGCGAAGCUACGAAUCGAAGCCCCAGUAAACGGCGGCCGUAACUAUAACGGUCCUAAGGUAGCGAAAUUCCUUGUCGGGUAAGUUCCGACCCGCACGAAAGGCGUAACGAUUUGGGCACUGUCUCAACGAGAGACUCGGUGAAAUCAUAGUACCUGUGAAGAUGCAGGUUACCCGCGACAGGACGGAAAGACCCCGUGGAGCUUUACUGUAGCCUGAUAUUGAAAUUCGGCACAGCUUGUACAGGAUAGGUAGGAGCCUUUGAAACGUGAGCGCUAGCUUACGUGGAGGCGCUGGUGGGAUACUACCCUAGCUGUGUUGGCUUUCUAACCCGCACCACUUAUCGUGGUGGGAGACAGUGUCAGGCGGGCAGUUUGACUGGGGCGGUCGCCUCCUAAAAGGUAACGGAGGCGCUCAAAGGUUCCCUCAGAAUGGUUGGAAAUCAUUCAUAGAGUGUAAAGGCAUAAGGGAGCUUGACUGCGAGACCUACAAGUCGAGCAGGGUCGAAAGACGGACUUAGUGAUCCGGUGGUUCCGCAUGGAAGGGCCAUCGCUCAACGGAUAAAAGCUACCCCGGGGAUAACAGGCUUAUCUCCCCCAAGAGUUCACAUCGACGGGGAGGUUUGGCACCUCGAUGUCGGCUCAUCGCAUCCUGGGGCUGUAGUCGGUCCCAAGGGUUGGGCUGUUCGCCCAUUAAAGCGGUACGCGAGCUGGGUUCAGAACGUCGUGAGACAGUUCGGUCCCUAUCCGUCGUGGGCGUAGGAAAUUUGAGAGGAGCUGUCCUUAGUACGAGAGGACCGGGAUGGACAUACCUCUGGUGUACCAGUUGUCGUGCCAACGGCAUAGCUGGGUAGCUAUGUGUGGACGGGAUAAGUGCUGAAAGCAUCUAAGCAUGAAGCCCCCCUCAAGAUGAGAUUUCCCAACUUCGGUUAUAAGAUCCCUCAAAGAUGAUGAGGUUA
Molecule: ribosomal RNA, 2854 nt
Filed under: Staphylococcus aureus subsp. aureus str. Newman
Lineage: Bacteria; Bacillati; Bacillota; Bacilli; Caryophanales; Staphylococcaceae
Description: bacterial LSU rRNA
Rfam family: Bacterial large subunit ribosomal RNA
Source: RNAcentral